GUGCGGGCGGACGCCACUGCUGGGAUCCACGCCUCUCUGAGCGGAGCUCUGCUGCUGUUGAACUCCUCGUUCCUGCUCAGCCAAUGGGCCGCCGCCAGCCAGAACCCCCCCGCGCUGUGUGUGUGCGUCGCCGUGGCGAUAGAGUACGGACUGCUCAGCUCCUUCAGCUGGAUGGCCAUCGAGGCGCUGCACCUCUACCUCAUGCUGGUGCGCGUCUUCAACACGUACUACACACGCUACCUGCUCAAGCUGUCCCUCAUAGGCUGGGGUGUACCUGCUGCACUGAUAAUCCUGUCCCUGGUGGUGAGAGUGGAAAACGACGCCUUCUAUGGCCUUGUGUCUUCCCAGGAUGUUCAGUUCUGUUGGAUCACAGACCAGGUGUUUGCGUACGGGAUGAACCUGACGUUCUUCAGCCUGGUCUUCCUGCUGAACAGCGGAAUCCUGAUCGCGGUGAGCGGCAGGAUCUUGCGUCUCCAGGGCCGUCGCCGUGGGACGCCGUCACCGUCGCCGUCGGCAACAACGCCCGGUCUCUCCUGCCGCAACCUGCUGACGGUCCUCGGACUCACCUGUCUGCUCGGGUCCACCUGGGGCCUGGCAUUCCUCAGCCUCAGCUACGCCAACCACGCCAUCCUCUACCUAUUCUGCAUUCUCAACUCACUGCAGGGCUUCUUCCUGUUCCUGUGGGUGUGUGGCACGUCACGGAAGGAGACUCAAGAGAAGAAGAAGAAGGCUCACACACACACACACACUCACGGCAC
Clupea harengus (Atlantic herring) is the source of this 758-nucleotide long non-coding RNA. The record is from Ensembl. Lineage: Eukaryota; Metazoa; Chordata; Actinopteri; Clupeiformes; Clupeidae.